This is a long non-coding RNA of Drosophila hydei, 595 nucleotides long. RefSeq lists it as uncharacterized. Lineage: Eukaryota; Metazoa; Arthropoda; Insecta; Diptera; Drosophilidae. The transcript has 3 exons. The record is from RefSeq and is a predicted model, not a curated record.
AUUAAAUAUAAGCUAGAACAAAGCAGAGCAAAUACUUAAGAUCAACAAUUGGAAUAAGAUGCGUAUGGCAGGGAAAAUUCAUGGCAAAUACUCUAACAAGCGACGACAUCGCCUUCGUAGCUUGUUAAGAAGAUUUAGAAACAAAUUUCACAAGCUAACGCAAAAAUUUCAACGCACUUUGCAGAACUGCUUGAGGGAGCUAGCAAAGCUGAAGAAGAUCUUCGAUGAUUAUCAGAUAUUAUUUGGUUCGAAAUAUCAACAAGUUGAUGUACAGCCAUUCUAGUUGCUAUAUUUAAACAUACUUCGUUUCUUUUUUACGUUUUACACAAGAGCUUCUUAUACACUUCAAAGUUUUUGCACCGAGCCGUUAUCAAAAUUGCAAAAUAAACCGUUUUCGAGCAUCUCAAGCAAGAAACUAACUUAAAUAGAGAAGCAAAAACAAUGUUUGCCGCUGGCUCAGCAAAUAUGCUUGACACUGAGAUUAACGACUCAAGAACAAGGGGAGAACGCUAGGAAAGUCACGGCUGCUUAUCAACACUUGUGCAAACAAAUAUUUAUAUAUAAAAACAAGAACCAAACCGAAAACAAUGCAUAA